Molecule: long non-coding RNA, 1249 nt
Filed under: Vigna radiata
Lineage: Eukaryota; Viridiplantae; Streptophyta; Magnoliopsida; Fabales; Fabaceae
Description: long non-coding RNA (VRAD_LNC009278)
Source: RNAcentral
CAACACUUUGCAAUGAAAGGCUUCAAUGCCUUGUUGUCUUUCCAGAAAUCAAAUUUCUGUCAAAAAUUAACAAAACAUUUCACAAAGCUACAAGUUUCAAAAGUUUCCACACUAUCUGAUUGAUCACAUAUGUUUCCACACUAUCAAUCUCAACAGAAUCAACUAUUUCCAACAUCCAUACACCAGCCCAUAUUCAACCUACAACCAAAACGAAGCCAAAAAAUUUGAGCACCUGAAACACAGAAAGAUUCAAAAUUCAAAAACCGAGAACCCAUCGCAUAGAAUCCUCAAACAUUAUCUUGGCAAGCCUCUGAGGUUGUGUUAUCUGCGAACCAAGCAAUCAACCCCUCACAGGUAGAGGGCGCACUAACGUUUUGGUGGUGGCUGUGGCAAUGGGGUUUUAGGGGUAGAGGGGGAUCUGGUUGAGGUGGUAGAGGUGGCCGGCGAUGACUGGCAGCGACCUUGGGCCAUGACUGGUGGCGAUCCAUGAAGAGGAUAAUCUCUCGUGUGACGGUGAAGGUCGCGGUCGCUGGCGAGGGUGAGACGAGGAGACUGCGACGGCGACGCAGUGGCUGUCGGAGAGGAGCGGCGGCGCAUUGGAGGCAAAGCUUCAGCCCUAGGCUAGCGCGAGAGGAAGAGAGGGAAAGCGAUGACGUCGCAGCCGACGGUGGCUCUGUUAGGGCGCGUCGUCGCCGGUGACGCCAGGUGGAGAGAAAGCGGUGGUGUGUGGUCGUCGAAUGAAGGCGGUGCGGUGCGAGCUCCGACCCCGAGUUGGGUGAGAGAGAGACGCGAGACCUGAAGUCUCUGGUGUUUGAGUCUGAGAGUGAAGAAUGAGGGGAGGAGUUUCGACCCCUUAGAGCUUCUAGGUCAGGAGAGUGUGGGUUUGGAUGCUUGGCCCAACCGAAUAAUAACAAAAAAACAGCACUUUCCUCUCGCACCCUCGUUCCUCAUCUUUGCAGCCCCUUUAUUUUCUGCUUGGGCCAGGUUCAUGGGCUAGUCUCAUCCUCACACCCCAUUUUCCUAUCCGCACACCCCAUCUUUCAUUCUGCACCCCGGUUUCUGAUAAGCUACACCCCUCUGCACUUGGGCUUUGGCCCAGUCUAGUUGUAAGAGCCAAAUUAGGUUUACACCCCCUUGUUUUUCAUUUUACACCCCUGGCCACUUGGGUUUAGGCCCAAUCUUUAUAUUAUUUUAUCANUUAACUUUUAGUUUAUUAUAUUUCUACUUUCUAUUUCAUUUUUCUACUUUU